AGGCGGUGGAUGAUGUGGAUUAAUUCGAUGCAACGCGAAAACCUUACCUACCCUUGACAUGUCCGGAAUCCCGAAGAGAUUUGGGAGUGCUCGCAAGAGGAGCCGGAACACAGGUGCUGCAUGGCUGUCGUCAGCUCGUGUCGUGAGAUGUUGGGUUAAGUCCCGCAACGAGCGCAACCCUUGUCAUUAGUUGCCAUCAUUUGGUUGGGCACUCUAAUGAGACUGCCGGUGACAAACCGGAGGAAGGUGGGGAUGACGUCAAGUCCUCAUGGCCCUUAUGGGUAGGGCUUCACACGUCAUACAAUGGUCGGUACAGAGGGUUGCCAACCCGCGAGGGGGAGCUAAUCCCACAAAGCCGAUCGUAGUCCGGAUCGCAGUCUGCAACUCGACUGCGUGAAGUCGGAAUCGCUAGUAAUCGUGGAUCAGCAUGUCACGGUGAAUACGUUCCCGGGUCUU
RNAcentral lists this ribosomal RNA (456 nucleotides) under uncultured Rhodocyclaceae bacterium. RNAcentral describes it as "bacterial SSU rRNA". It matches the Rfam family "Bacterial small subunit ribosomal RNA", at positions 927 to 1382 of the family's 1533-position model. The record is from RNAcentral. Lineage: Bacteria; Pseudomonadati; Pseudomonadota; Betaproteobacteria; Rhodocyclales; Rhodocyclaceae.